UCAGUAGGCGGCCAACUAAGUCCGACGUGAAAUCCCAAAGCUUAACUUUGGAACUGCGUCGGAUACUGGAUGGCUUGAAUUCGGGAGAGGGAUGCAGAAUUCCAGGUGUAGCGGUGAAAUGCGUAGAUAUCUGGAGGAAUACCGGUGGCGAAGGCGGCAUCCUGGACCGAGAUUGACGCUGAACGACGAAAUAGGAGGCAACG
RNAcentral lists this ribosomal RNA (203 nucleotides) under uncultured bacterium. RNAcentral describes it as "partial 16S ribosomal RNA". It matches the Rfam family "Bacterial small subunit ribosomal RNA", at positions 568 to 770 of the family's 1533-position model. The record is from RNAcentral.